GUGUUUAUUGUACCUUGUUGCUUCGGUGCGCCCGCCUCACGGCCGCCGGGGGGCUUCUGCCCCCGGGUCCGCGCGCACCGGAGACACCAUUGAACUCUGUCUGAAGAUUGCAGUCUGAGCAUAAACUAAAUAAGUUAAAACUUUCAACAACGGAUCUCUUGGUUCCGGCAUCGAUGAAGAACGCAGCGAAAUGCGAUAACUAAUGUGAAUUGCAGAAUUCAGUGAAUCAUCGAGUCUUUGAACGCACAUUGCGCCCCCUGGUAUUCCGGGGGGCAUGCCUGUCCGAGCGUCAUUGCUGCCCUCAAGCACGGCUUGUGUGUUGGGCUCCGUCCCCCCGGGGACGGGCCCGAAAGGCAGCGGCGGCACCGAGUCCGGUCCUCGAGCGUAUGGGGCUUUGUCACCCGCUCUGUAGGCCCGGCCGGCGCCAGCCGACAACCCAUCAUCCUUUUCAGGUUGACCUCGGAUCAGGUAGGGAUACCCGCUGAACUUAAGCAUAUCAAUAAGC
RNAcentral lists this ribosomal RNA (505 nucleotides) under Penicillium spinulosum. RNAcentral's name for it is "eukaryotic LSU rRNA". The stretch from base 139 to 292 matches the Rfam family "5.8S ribosomal RNA". The record is from RNAcentral. Lineage: Eukaryota; Fungi; Ascomycota; Eurotiomycetes; Eurotiales; Aspergillaceae.